Aedes aegypti (yellow fever mosquito) is the source of this 960-nucleotide long non-coding RNA. RefSeq lists it as uncharacterized. Lineage: Eukaryota; Metazoa; Arthropoda; Insecta; Diptera; Culicidae. The record is from RefSeq and is a predicted model, not a curated record. The transcript is spliced from 3 exons.
GUUUAUUGAAACGAAAAUUUAACUCAGUGUGUAAGGCAGUGUGUGGCCCGCCAUUUUAUUUCGCGCUGUAAACGGAGUGUAAGAAAAAAUGGCUGACGCGGAAGAGUUCAUCGAAGAACUCGAUGUGGAAAAAAAUAUCCGUGGAGGAAGUCGAGUUGAUAGAAUUGCUCAACAGUUUUAGAAUUACUGAAGCUAUUAUUGAAGCCCUUCUUGUUAAUUCUUACACGAUUGAAACGCUAAAAGUGAUUCAGCGGCAAGAAAUCGAGCUGCUGAUUCUACCCCCGUCGCUUGCGGAGUGGACCAAAUUCAUUCAUCCAUUGGAUAUUUGGAGAACAGCGCAGGGGCUACCAAAAGUCCAAAAAGUUACAGCAAGUGGCAGCAGCUCUGCUUCGGUGCAAAAUACCAUUGUAAAGCCUUCUGAACCAAGGAUCACGUGGGAUUCAUGCACGGCCACCUAUUUGCUGAAAAACUCCUCGGAGGCACAAGCCAUCAUACGAAAAUACAGCCAAACACCGUUUCUCUCAAGAUCCGACAAAAUGUAUCACCCACUGAAUUUAAAAAUAUACGGUAAUAGAAGUUAUGAUCGUUUUUCUUAAUUUCAAAAUAAGAGCAAAAUAAAAUUUAGCGGGGUGGAGGGGGAGCAGAUCUGGGAUCAAUAAAAUCUUUAUUUAUUUCUAAUAAAAACAUUUUCAAAUUAAAAACCAAGUGUGAUUUAUUUCAAAAAUGUUAUGUUUUAUUUUAAAGCAAAAAUAUUGUUAUUUCGAAAGAAAAAAAUAUUGAAUCAAAAAUUAAUUUUGUUGAACCGCAUUGGACCCAGCUGUCAAAUUCAACAAUUAAUAUUUUUAAACUGAACUGCUUAUAGUUAUUAAAACAAUGAAAGGAUAUUAUAAGCCGGCAAAUAAUACAGAAAAAUGGUUGAAAUGAUACAGAUUUUUGUUGAUAUUAAAAAUGUUUUCGCUG